ACGGGAGGCAGCAGUGGGGAAUAUUGGGCAAUGGGCGAAAGCCUGACCCAGCGACGCCGCGUGAGGGAAGAAGGUCUUCGGAUUGUAAACCUUAGUCAACAGGGAAGAAGCAAGUGACGGUACCUGUGGAGGAAGCCACGGCUAACUACGUGCCAGCAGCCGCGGUAAUACAUAGGGAGCAAGCGUUAUCCGGAUUUACUGGGUGUAAAGGGUGCGUAGGCGGCAUGGUAAGUCAGUCGUUAAAGACCAGAGCUUAACUCUGGACCAGCGAUUGAAACUAUCAAGCUAGAGUACAGGAGAGGUUAGUGGAAUUACUAGUGUAGAGGUGGAAUUCAUAGAUAUUAGUAAGAACACCAAUGGCGAAGGCAGCUAACUGGCCUGAAACUGACGCUGAGGCACGAAAGUGUGGGGAGCAAACAGGAUUAGAUACCCUGGUA
This 437-nucleotide ribosomal RNA is filed under the name uncultured Oscillospiraceae bacterium. RNAcentral's name for it is "partial 16S ribosomal RNA". It matches the Rfam family "Bacterial small subunit ribosomal RNA", at positions 341 to 792 of the family's 1533-position model. Lineage: Bacteria; Bacillati; Bacillota; Clostridia; Eubacteriales; Oscillospiraceae. The record is from RNAcentral.